UACGGGGGGAGCAAGCGUUGUUCGGAUUUACUGGGCGUAAAGGGCGCGUAGGCGGUCACUACAAGUCAGCUGUGAAAUCUCUGGGCUUAACUCAGAACGGUCAACUGAUACUGUCGGACUAGAGUGCAGAAGGGGCAACUGGAAUUCUCGGUGUAGCGGUGAAAUGCGUAGAUAUCGAGAGGAACACCUGCGGCGAAGGCGGGUUGCUGGGCUGACACUGACGCUGAGGCGCGAAAGCUAGGGGAGCGAACGGG
RNAcentral lists this ribosomal RNA (254 nucleotides) under uncultured bacterium. RNAcentral describes it as "partial 16S ribosomal RNA". It matches the Rfam family "Bacterial small subunit ribosomal RNA", at positions 524 to 776 of the family's 1533-position model. The record is from RNAcentral.